AAUGCAUGCACCAUAGAAAAAAUAAUUCAGUCCUAGUUAAAGAAGCAGACGCAUCAUUACGUCCCGAAAAAUUGAAAGCAAGGAAUCAGUGUAUAUAUCGAAGUGCAGGACUAUGAAUUCCUAUGUCUUUGCAACGUUUCAGAUCGUAUGAAAUCUGUCUCAUUUCAGUUAACAAUGCCAAAGCUUCAUUAGCAUCAAAGUCAGGUGGUAUGUCGAGAAAAGAGUCAUAAUAGUCAUCAGUUGCUAAAUAGUCCUCAUUAACAAAUCCGAAAGCAACAUUAAACUCAGAAAUAGACAGAUUAUAAUGUACACCUAGUAAGCAAAAAUUGACAGCAUGAGGCGUAUCUAUGGUGUUGGCAGAACGGUUGAAGUAAAAUGUAGAAUAAAAUUCAAAAACCAACUCAUAAUAUGCAGGUUCAUCAAUAGCAGCAAAAUCAGUCCACCCAAUAGCAUCAAAAUAUUGAUUAACAGAUUCUUCAAUAUCUAAAGAAUAUAAUGAGAAUGAGUCGACGUGCUUACAUACUGGAAGAGGGCGAUGUUGAAUUUGUUC
This 550-nucleotide long non-coding RNA is filed under the name Gossypium raimondii (Peruvian cotton). RNAcentral's name for it is "long non-coding RNA (GRAI_LNC005894)". Lineage: Eukaryota; Viridiplantae; Streptophyta; Magnoliopsida; Malvales; Malvaceae. The record is from RNAcentral.